UGUCUUCUUUUUUUGUGGGGUGUGCUUUCUCUUAAUUUAACACCCGAGUUCACAGAUUACUUCCUGCCCUAGGAUCUGUGGCGAAUGUCACCACCUGUGACAGCGCUCUUAUUUAUGAACUGAAGAACACUCUCCAUCUUGGCCCUCUUGCCAGAAAAGUUCUUUCUCCACAGACCAACAGGAAGUUCCCUAAGUACUAUGAGACCUUGUCUUUGCCUAUAGCUGGCUGCAUUGGACAUGGAUUCCUGGCCCAAGUUCAUUAAAGAAGAUGAGGGAAAAUAAACACACAUGUACACGCACACCAGAUAAACUGAAUGCUUCCUUCUGCUGGGGACACGCUGUAGGUGAGCAAGUGCACCAAGGACAAGGCGGCCACUGAUGAAAAGGAAGGGAAAAGAGACUUCAUUUCCAUACCCACUAACCAUGCCAACAGAAGGCUUUGUGAAGAAGGAAGUAAAAGCUAUCGGUAGGAGUUAGAAAAAAACAUUUCUAGUUACAAGAACAGCAGAAAAAGACCUGAACUUCAGAGUGGACCACAAAUGAAUAUGAAUUAAUAACACAGAUCUCUUUUCAAAAGCCAACACAAAAUGAGGAUGUGUUUUUUGCAAAAGCAGUUGUUCUUGCCACUGGGCUUAUGCUUGUCAUUCUUUCAUGUGUCACAGCCAGACCUAGGAAAUUCCCUGGAAAGUCCCCUCCAUCACACACCUGCAGUUUUUCCAUUUGAGUGUAAUUCUGUUGGACCUUGAAAGACUUUUUGAUCUUUGGGACGCUCUUAUCACCAAAUGUAUCUUUCUGCAGGAAGAAGACAGAAGAAAGGGGUGGACUAUGAGAUGGGAGCCUGGGUCCCAAUUUCAGUUCAACCAUUACCAACCAGGUGGCUUUAGGCAAGUCUGGUCAUUUCCUUUGCCUCAGUGGCUUUCUAUAAAAUGGAAUUCUAUAGGGAUGAUGAAAGCGAAAACGUUAGCCACUAUGCUUGCUAGUGCUCAAGAAAUGAUUCCUUCCUGCCUGCCUGCCUCAGUUUUCCAUCUGUAAACAAGGAUUCAACUAGAACAUCUUUGAGGUUCCUUGAGCUCUAACACUCUGUGAUUCUGUUGGCAGCACCUUAAGAAAUUUACAACAAACACUCCAUUGAGUCUUAAUCUAUUAGAUCCCAUUCAGUUCUAAUAGUGUUGUGAUUUUGACUUUGUAGCCUCAUGUUUAUUUUCUCUCUUCCUGAUUUUUUAUUUAUAUAUUCUAUUUAAUAGUUUUUGCUUUUUCAAGUUGUCACCAGUUCUUUGUAGAAUAAGAAAAAAGUAUAACUAACUGGAGGAAAGAAUGCAUUCACAGAAAGCCAAGGAAUGAUAACACUAAUGCUAAUACAAUACUACUGCUAAUAAAAAUAACUGCCUUUAUUGAACACUUACUGUGUGCAAAGAACUAUGCUAAGCACUUUAUAAACAUUGGGUCAUUUAAUUCUCACAGUAACCCCAUGAAGCCAUACUUUUCAUCUCCAUUUUUACAGAUAAGGAGACUGAGUCUUAGAGAUAGCAAGCAACUUGUCCAUGGUAAAGCUGAGCUGCAAAUUCAGGUUGGGAUAACUCGGAGAAGUGG
Molecule: long non-coding RNA, 1590 nt
Filed under: Homo sapiens (human)
Lineage: Eukaryota; Metazoa; Chordata; Mammalia; Primates; Hominidae
Description: non-protein coding lnc-CCDC171-1:1
Source: RNAcentral